GCAGGGACAUCCCAGCACUGGAGCUGUCACCACGGGCAGGGACACAAAGUCCUGGUGUCCCCCAUGGUUCCAGAGGGAGGGAACGGGCCCUGGGUGUCACCCUCCAGGGCAGGACAGGGCCAUGGUGUGUCCCCAGCACUGCCAGCCCAUCCACAGCCCCAGUGUCCCCCGGGAUGGCUCUGUCCCCUCAAAGCUGUCACCUCCCAUUGCAGGACAGUGUCCCCAGCACUGCCAGUCCAUCCAGCACUCCCAGGGCUGGCUCUGUCCCCUCAAAGCUGUCACCUAUGGAGCAGCACAGGGCCAUGGUGUGUCCCCUUCACUGCCAGCCCAUCCACAUCCCCAGUGUCCCCAGGGAUGGCUCUGUCCCCUCAAAGCUGUCACCUCAAGGGGCAGGACAGUGUCCCCAGCUCUGCCAGCCCAUCCAGCACUCCCAGGGCUGGCCCUGUCCCCUCUGAGCUGUCACCCUCCAGAGCAGGACAGGGCCAUGGUGUCCCCAGCACUGUCAGCCCAUCCACAGCCCCAAUGUCCCCAGGGAUGGCUCUGUCCCCUCUGAGCUGUCACCUCCCAUUGCAGGACAGUGUCCCCAUCACUGCCAGCCCAUCCAGCACUCCCAGGGCUGGCUCUGUCCCCUCUGAGCUGUCACCCUCCAGAGCAGGACAGUGUCCCCAGCACUGCCAGCCCAUUCACAGCCCCAAUGUCCCCAGGGAUGGCUCUGUC
This 717-nucleotide long non-coding RNA is filed under the name Zonotrichia albicollis (white-throated sparrow). Its description in RNAcentral is "lncRNA (ENSZALG00000006242.1)". The record is from RNAcentral. Lineage: Eukaryota; Metazoa; Chordata; Aves; Passeriformes; Passerellidae.